Molecule: non-coding RNA, 1111 nt
Organism: Arachis ipaensis
Lineage: Eukaryota; Viridiplantae; Streptophyta; Magnoliopsida; Fabales; Fabaceae
Source: RefSeq, a predicted model, not a curated record
CCUUACCUCCUUCAGCCGCCAAUUACUUUCACUCCAAUAAACCCACUCAUCGAAGAAAGAAAGAAAAGAAAAGGAAAGAAGGAAGGGGGACCGAGGAAGGAGGGAGAUGGGGGAGAAGAGGGAGGCGGCGCGGUGGGUGUCACUGCCACCGCCGCCGCCGCUGCUAAUCGAGAGAAGGGGAGAUCCAAGAAAGAGAGAGAGUGCGUUGGUGGGAGAGGAAGACCGCUGCCACAGUUGCCGCCGUUCGUCCUCCAACUCGUCGCCACCAUCGCGGAUCGCCAGUGACCUCGCGCCCGUCGCCGACGACCACGAGCCAGAGGAGAAGAAGAACGAUACUAUUACGCUGUUCCUCGCUGCAGAUGAAGUUCGCCGCCGCAGCCGUUACUGUUCGCGCUGUCGUCGUCGCCGAAGGGAGCCAUCGUCGCUGUCAUCGGAACAGAGGGCGAGAGAGAGACAGAGAGCUCGCGGUGGGGGAAAGGAUAGGCGCCGCCGUGCUGAGUGAAGCUCCCGCCGCCGUUCCUGCCGCCGUCCAGCCUCAGUUAGCACCGCCGAAGCUCCUGCCAUCACCGUCGUUGAAGAAGCUCACCGGAGCUGCUGGAGGCUACCGCCGCUCUACCUAGUUCUGUUUUGAGUCGCGCAACCGUGUCCGUGGCCGUCGGAGACCGUAUCUGAAGCCUCUAUCUUCUUGGGUUUUGGUUGUUGCAAGUUACUCGGCUCUACGUUGUUGUCGGAACUAGGCCAGAUUUACCGGACAGAUGCAUAGGUCCCUGAUUAUGUUCUUUGCUGCUCCGUCGUUUUGUUUUCUAUAGCUGUAGGUCGAGUUUCGGUAAUCACAUGGUUGGAGUAAAAGUCGUUUUUGUUGUUGUGAAAGUAAACGGAACUGCGGAUGCAGCUGCCGCUGAAUGCGAGCCGAAAGAAAAAGAGUUUAGUCUCGUAGUUAGAUCGCAAUCGAGCUUUAUCUUUUCAGGAACCGGGUGAAGCAUUAAGAAGUGUUAUACUGCGUUUGGUUUAUAUGUUGUUGUAUUAAUUAGAUUAUUUUCUUCCCUCGUCUUUGUUAUUAAAAUUUUGUAAGAGGGAUAGGAAUUGUAUGUUUUAUAUGUAUAAUAUAUUG